RNAcentral lists this ribosomal RNA (444 nucleotides) under uncultured Staphylococcus sp. RNAcentral's name for it is "bacterial SSU rRNA". It matches the Rfam family "Bacterial small subunit ribosomal RNA", at positions 302 to 738 of the family's 1533-position model. Lineage: Bacteria; Bacillati; Bacillota; Bacilli; Caryophanales; Staphylococcaceae. The record is from RNAcentral.
GAUCGGCCACACUGGAACUGAGACACGGUCCAGACUCCUACGGGAGGCAGCAGUAGGGAAUCUUCCGCAAUGGGCGAAAGCCUGACGGAGCAACGCCGCGUGAGUGAUGAAGGUCUUCGGAUCGUAAAACUCUGUUAUUAGGGAAGAACAAACGUGUAAGUAACUGUGCACGUCUUGACGGUACCUAAUCAGAAAGCCACGGCUAACUACGUGCCAGCAGCCGCGGUAAUACGUAGGUGGCAAGCGUUAUCCGGAAUUAUUGGGCGUAAAGCGCGCGUAGGCGGUUUUUUAAGUCUGAUGUGAAAGCCCACGGCUCAACCGUGGAGGGUCAUUGGAAACUGGAAAACUUGAGUGCAGAAGAGGAAAGUGGAAUUCCAUGUGUAGCGGUGAAAUGCGCAGAGAUAUGGAGGAACACCAGUGGCGAAGGCGACUUUCUGGUCUGUA